This 1381-nucleotide ribosomal RNA is filed under the name uncultured bacterium. RNAcentral's name for it is "bacterial SSU rRNA". It matches the Rfam family "Bacterial small subunit ribosomal RNA". The record is from RNAcentral.
GAAUUCGCCCUUAGAGUUUGAUCCUGGCUCAGGACGAACGCUGGCGGCGCGCCUAACACAUGCAAGUCGAACGAGCGAGAGAGAGCUUGCUUUCUCAAGCGAGUGGCGAACGGGUGAGUAACGCGUGAGGAACCUGCCUCAAAGAGGGGGACAACAGUUGGAAACGACUGCUAAUACCGCAUAAGCCCACGACCCGGCAUCGGGUAGAGGGAAAAGGAGCAAUCCGCUUUGAGAUGGCCUCGCGUCCGAUUAGCUAGUUGGUGAGGUAAUGGCCCACCAAGGCGACGAUCGGUAGCCGGACUGAGAGGUUGAACGGCCACAUUGGGACUGAGACACGGCCCAGACUCCUACGGGAGGCAGCAGUGGGGAAUAUUGCACAAUGGGGGAAACCCUGAUGCAGCGACGCCGCGUGGAGGAAGAAGGUCUUCGGAUUGUAAACUCCUGUUGUUGAGGAAGAUAAUGACGGUACUCAACAAGGAAGUGACGGCUAACUACGUGCCAGCAGCCGCGGUAAAACGUAGGUCACAAGCGUUGUCCGGAAUUACUGGGUGUAAAGGGAGCGCAGGCGGGAAGACAAGUUGGAAGUGAAAUCCAUGGGCUCAACCCAUGAACUGCUUUCAAAACUGUUUUUCUUGAGUAGUGCAGAGGUAGGCGGAAUUCCCGGUGUAGCGGUGGAAUGCGUAGAUAUCGGGAGGAACACCAGUGGCGAAGGCGGCCUACUGGGCACCAACUGACGCUGAGGCUCGAAAGUGUGGGUAGCAAACAGGAUUAGAUACCCUGGUAGUCCACACUGUAAACGAUGAUUACUAGGUGUUGGAGGAUUGACCCCUUCAGUGCCGCAGUUAACACAAUAAGUAAUCCACCUGGGGAGUACGACCGCAAGGUUGAAACUCAAAGGAAUUGACGGGGGCCCGCACAAGCAGUGGAGUAUGUGGUUUAAUUCGACGCAACGCGAAGAACCUUACCAAGUCUUGACAUCCUGCGACGCACGUAGAAAUAUGUGUUUCCUUCGGGACGCAGAGACAGGUGGUGCAUGGUUGUCGUCAGCUCGUGUCGUGAGAUGUUGGGUUAAGUCCCGCAACGAGCGCAACCCUUACUGUCAGUUACUACGCAAGAGGACUCUGGCCAGACUGCCGUUGACAAAACGGAGGAAGGUGGGGAUGACGUCAAAUCAUCAUGCCCCUUAUGACCUGGGCCUCACACGUACUACAAUGGCUGUUAACAGAGGGAUGCAAAGCCGCGAGGUGGAGCGAACCCCUAAAAGCAGUCUUAGUUCGGAUUGUAGGCUGCAACCCGCCUACAUGAAGUCGGAAUUGCUAGUAAUCGCAGAUCAGCAUGCUGCGGUGAAUACGUUCCCGGGCCUUGCACACACCGCCCGUCA